AAGAAGACACAAAGCCAAAGACUCA
Molecule: non-coding RNA, 25 nt
Filed under: Arabidopsis thaliana (thale cress)
Lineage: Eukaryota; Viridiplantae; Streptophyta; Magnoliopsida; Brassicales; Brassicaceae
Source: RNAcentral